This 814-nucleotide ribosomal RNA is filed under the name uncultured organism. RNAcentral describes it as "bacterial SSU rRNA". It matches the Rfam family "Bacterial small subunit ribosomal RNA", at positions 651 to 1457 of the family's 1533-position model. The record is from RNAcentral.
GAAGAGAGGAGUGGAAUUCUCGGAGUAGCGGUUAAAUGCGUAGAUCUCGAGAGGAACACCAAUGGCGAAAGCAGCUCCUUGGUCCAUUUCUGACGCUGAGGCACGAAAGCGUGGGUAGCAAACAGGAUUAGAUACCCUGGUAGUCCACGCCGUAAACGAUGGUCACUGGAUGUUGGUUUUGUUUUACGCAAAAUCAGUAUCGUAGCUAACGCGUUAAGUGACCCGCCUGGGGAGUACGGUCGCAAGAUUAAAACUCAAAGGAAUUGACGGGGGUCCGCACAAGCGGUGGAACAUGUGGUUUAAUCCGAUACUACGCGAGGAACCUUACCUGGGUUUGACAUGUAUUUGACCGCCAUAGAGAUAUGGUUUUUUAAGCGUAAGCUUGAACAGAUACACAGGUGCUGCAUGGCUGUCGUCAGCUCGUGUCGUGAGAUGUUGGGUUAAGUCCUUUAACGAGCGCAACCCUUGCUGCCAGUUGCUAUUCUUUUAGAAGCACUCUGGUGGGACUGCCUAGGAAACUAGGAGGAAGGUGGGGAUGACGUCAAGUCCGCAUGGUCCUUAUGUCCAGGGCAACACACAUGUUACAAUGGGUAGUACAAAGCGUUGCGAUCCCGUGAGGGGGAGCUAAUCGCAUAAAGCUACUCUAAGUUCGGAUUGAAGGCUGCAAUUCGCCUUCAUGAAGCUGAAAUCGCUAGUAAUCGCAUAUCAGAACGAUGCGGUGAUACGUUCUCGGACAUUGUACACACCGCCCGUCACACCACGAAAGCUGUCUGCACCCGAAGUCGUUUUAGCUAACCGAAAGGAGGCGAGCGCC